UGGCGGACGGGUGAGUAAUGUCUGGGGAUCUGCCCGAUAGAGGGGGAUAACCACUGGAAACGGUGGCUAAUACCGCAUAACGUCGCAAGACCAAAGAGGGGGACCUUCGGGCCUCUCACUAUCGGAUGAACCCAGAUGGGAUUAGCUAGUAGGCGGGGUAAUGGCCCACCUAGGCGACGAUCCCUAGCUGGUCUGAGAGGAUGACCAGCCACACUGGAACUGAGACACGGUCCAGACUCCUACGGGAGGCAGCAGUGGGGAAUAUUGCACAAUGGGCGCAAGCCUGAUGCAGCCAUGCCGCGUGUAUGAAGAAGGCCUUCGGGUUGUAAAGUACUUUCAGCGGGGAGGAAGGCGACGGGGUUAAUAACCCUGUCGAUUGACGUUACCCGCAGAAGAAGCACCGGCUAACUCCGUGCUAGCAGCCGCGGUAAUACGGAGGGUGCAAGCGUUAAUCGGAAUUACUGGGCGUAAAGCGCACGCAGGCGGUCUGUUAAGUCAGAUGUGAAAUCCCCGGGCUUAACCUGGGAACUGCAUU
Molecule: ribosomal RNA, 535 nt
Filed under: uncultured Pantoea sp.
Lineage: Bacteria; Pseudomonadati; Pseudomonadota; Gammaproteobacteria; Enterobacterales; Erwiniaceae
Description: bacterial SSU rRNA
Rfam family: Bacterial small subunit ribosomal RNA
Source: RNAcentral